UCCAGAGGAAUUAUGCAUUGGUGAAAUGAUCCAGUCAGAGCAGAAAAAUGUUCCAGGAGAACAAACAGAACAACACCAUGAAGUAAAAAACCAAGGACAAGAUACACAUACACGCGACCAAAUUCUGAAGAAAA
Long non-coding RNA from Fundulus heteroclitus (mummichog), 134 nucleotides. RefSeq lists it as uncharacterized. The transcript is spliced from 3 exons. Lineage: Eukaryota; Metazoa; Chordata; Actinopteri; Cyprinodontiformes; Fundulidae. The record is from RefSeq and is a predicted model, not a curated record.